Molecule: long non-coding RNA, 2905 nt
Filed under: Monodelphis domestica (gray short-tailed opossum)
Lineage: Eukaryota; Metazoa; Chordata; Mammalia; Didelphimorphia; Didelphidae
Description: lncRNA (ENSMODG00000041841.1)
Source: RNAcentral
AUGGAAUCCAUCAUCAAGAACCCACUUUCACGGCCCUCCCAGCCCCGCUUUGCUCCCUCUUAUUUCCUCCCUUUCCCGUGCCGCUCCUUGGGCACCCAGGAACAAUUUGGCAAAGAGGACUCAGGGCGGGCAAAACUGGUAGUGGAGACUCUGGAGCAGGACCUAGCCAGCUCAGGAACAUUCAUUUGCAGGGUACUGCCACCUCCUCUCCUCCCCAGAGCCCUGCAACAAUUGGCAUUUUCCUAUUGGGUCACUGGUGCCAGUCAGACAGCCUGGCAGAAAGAAGUCGAAGUCCCUUCCAUUUUAAUUUCUCUCAUCCUCAUGCUCAGACGCUUUCUGGAGUCGGAGGCCACGUCACCUGGCACCUGGGCCUCAGUUCAGGAGGAGAAAAGACCUCCCUCCCUCCUCCCUUCCUGUCCUACCUGGCUGGCAGUGAAGCCUGGAGAAAGCCUCUGCUUGGGGAUGGGCUCCUGUUACCUAAUGGGAGAAGCAUUGGCAGAAACUCAGCAGGCUCCAGAACACGGGAGAUCCCUGGGGAGUCGAGGCCUGGCUGCCAGCUGGGGAAACCGAGGCCCAGAGAUGGGGAGUGACGCACUUGAGGGUGUAAGUCCUGUGACACUGAGAUCAGUGCAGGAUGGCUGAGCCCCAGGACAGAGCUGUGCAGCAAGAAGGGCUGUGGGCAGUCGAGGAAAGACCACUGGACUGGACAUCUCUGGCCCUGGGUCCGUGCCCAGAUGGUGGACGCUCGCCAUCUGUCCUCAGGCCUCAGCAAGGUGAUGGAGUGGCAGCUGUCUCCGAAAGGCUGUUGGGCUGGAGAAGGCUCAGAGGAGGGGGGCCGGGGCAGGGGAGGCUCCCUGAGAGGCACAGGAAGGGACCUCUGCCAGAGAGCAAUGGGGAGCCAUGGGAGGUUCUGAAACAGCAUGAUGGACCUGGGUCUUAGAAAGACGAAUCUGUUGAAGGGGAGGAGUAGAUGGGAGGCGAGGGAGCAGCUAGGAAGGAGGCUCUUUCACUGGGCAAGCUUUCUGGGCCUAGAGACAGAGAGGAGGGGGAGCCUCGAGCCUCCAGGAGGCAGUGCAGGGUAGGAGGUGGAGGGGAAGGAGCAAAGGUGAGCAUGGCCAAGGCCCUGCCUGGGAGCCCAGAGUCCUGCAUUCUGGGGAUGGUGCCGCUGCCUCAUUGCAGGCAUUAAGCAGGUCCAGACCCUCCAGGGACAUCAGUUUUCCCAUCCAUAAAGCGGAAGGAUCAGAGGAAAGCCUCCGAGGCCCCCCUUGACCCCUGGGCCUUCUCGUUCUGUGAUCCUCUCACCCCAAGGAGCCAGGCCCAGUCUGGACCUCUGAUGGCUGAGACGGAGCUCUCUGGAGUGGGAAGGGGGCACUGGGCUGGGCCGCACAAAGUCCCCUCUGCCCCCUCACCCCAGAGCUGCCCGAGGGGCCUCUCCUCCUGGCCAGCAGCUGCUGGGGGUCCCUUUGUGGCAUGCUGUCUCCCCCCCCCCCCCCCCCCGUGUGCCCCAGGCUGGAGACCCAAGAGGAAGGGCGGCAGACAGAGCUGGGGACGGGACCAGAGGAACACGGGCAUGUGGGGAUGGAGAAGGAGCCUGGAGUAGGGAUGGCGGGAAGGCCUGGGCAGGAGUCUGGGGAGGACAGGGAAGGGGGAGCUGAGAUCCUGAGAGACCCUUUGCUAGCCUGCCCGAGCGAAAGAGAACAAGCCUCAUUCCCUCCUUAAGAGGCGCCAGGCUGGCCAAUUGCCAGAGAACGCCAAAGCCACGCAGGGCCUGGCAGGCUGUCCUUGCUGCUGAGAGGCUGACCUGAUCGUGAGCGAGCAGAAGGAUACUGAUUGGAACUAGAGAUGGGCGCCGGUGAAUGGAUGUCGGCCCGAAAGCUCCGCUCUCCUGCUAGGUGACAGCCAGUCCAGCAGGCGAGCUGGCGACAGAGGAAAGCAUUGGCAUGGGCACGACUUUGGCCACCUGGAGCACAGAUGAACUAGGAUCUAGACCUGAGAGCCCGCCAUUGGGCUUCACUGCAGGGUGGGGGAGCUUUAGAUAGAAAGCCCAGGGAAUUACAGUGGUCGGAGGGUUUGACCGAGACUUGCAAGAGGAACAGGAGAGCUCCUGCGGCCCCCACCAUGCUCGUUCUGGAUUUGAAAGAUGGCGGUCAGGUUGCAGAUUCAUCUUUCGUCAAAGCCGUAAACACUGGCAGAAGCAGAUGCAAAGUGCCGGCGCCUCCAUGGCAUAGGCCUUGUCCCCCUUUGAAAUCCCGAUUCAUCUUCGUCCUAGUGCAGCUUUGCUAGAAGCGCCCUUCAUCUCCUCACAGCCUUCUGCAAUUCAUUUGACUUCAGCAUAGGCAGAGUCCUUUGGAGGAAGGAAUGUUUCCUUCUUUGCAUCUGUAUCCCAGGGGCUGGCAAAAGACACACUAUAUCCCUGUAGCUGAACAAAGGCUUGUUUCCAUGGCUAAAUGGAAGCUGCACACAAAAAAAGGAAGCACAGGAAUUUGAAGAAAUGGGGCAGAGGUGAGCUCAAAGGUGGCAGUGGCCCCCACACUCUUGGGGAGGUCUCAGGGCAUGGAGAAGUCAGGCCAGAAGCUAUGGGAAGGCCGUUUAGGAGGCCAGGAGACAAGCAAUGACCCUAAGCCCAAAAGUGAACGGUCUCUAGAAAACCCCGAGGAAUCCGCUACAAAGUGAAUAAUGGCAACAAUCUAGCAAAGUUGAAGAGUAUAAAAUCAACCCCCAAGUCAUCAGCCAGAAAAGUAACAGGAAAAGCUACAAAGAAAAACUCUUCAGAACAACUGCAGGAACUAUGAAAUACUGAGAAUGUUUACCAAACACUUUGCAGAAACCAAGACCGACCUAAUAACUGGAGAAAUAAUAGCUGCUCACAGGGAGGGUGAGCCAAUAAAACACACACACACACACA